AAAAUGCUCUCUCACUUGACCCACAGCCCUCCCUUCCUCUUCCUGUUGUGCUUCCACUGUUCCAGCAGCCACAAAAAAUCCACCUCUUUCCCUUUCUCUUUCGCCAAGUCUACUUUUCAUAUUUUCCUUCCAUGGGUCUUUUUUAAAAAAAAAAAGAAUUUUUUUUAGUUCAAAAUUUUACUAUAUUCUUGCUAUACAACAAACAGAGCAAUAACCUCCCAUCUACAUAAACUUGGUCACAACCGUCUUUAUCUUUUUUUUGGGUUUUCUAUGUUUUGGUCCCAAAUGACAAAAGUCAGGAAGAAAACCUAACAAUUUUCAGCCAUGAAAACCCAUCAAGCAGAAAAAGAUUUAUUCCUUUUCUUUGCUUUACUUUCAAAAAGUUGUUUAUCAAAAUUUAAUUUUUCUUGUAAAAUCCAGGAUAACAAAGCUUGGGUGAACGACAAUGGUUGUCGCUGUUUAAAAGGUUGUUUAGGAAAGGACCUGGUUUAAAAAAAUUGUUUAAUUGUUUAAUUUUACCUUAAAAAUGUAGAGGAUAAGAGGAAGGGAAGGAUGAACGAUGGUGGUCUGGGCUGAACAGCGGCGUUGUUGGAUGAUAGGGGAUGCAAAUCUUGUCAAAUCCAAGAGAAUAGGAAGCUAAGGUGAAGCUUGGUUAUUAAUUUUGUAAAAUACACCGAGACUUUCAGGUGGAUUUUUUGUGGCUGCUGGAACGGUGGAGAAGAGGAAGGAAAGGGAAUGGAAGACUGUGGGCACCUGCGAGAGUAUUUUUGGGAGGAAAUUUUUGAGCCGUUGUUUUUAUUCUAAAGGCAUAGAAUAAACACGCAUUUUUAGACAGCAUAUAAAAGGAUCUAGACGGACCUGAUAAUAGCCUCUCCCUAUAUAUAUAUAUAUAUAUAGAGGGGAGUUUAGAAUAGGGAUCGACCGCACAGAAGCCCAUGCGGACCAAAAACAUGCUUAUUUUGCUGGCCGUUGGAUUGAAAUUGGUGGUCCAGAUUAGAUUGCCAUUUCCCUCCCAUUCCUUUCCUUUCCCACCCAUCUUCUGUCCUGUUCGAUGCCUAUCUCCCACUGUGUUCGAGCAAGUAGCCAUCCCAUUCCCUUCCUUUCCUACCUAUCCAGCCAGAAGUAGGGACUGUUCGACAGCCAGAGCCACCGCCGUUCAGCCCAUAUCGACGUCCCAGACCAUCCAAAACCCAUGGCCUAGGCCACCGCUCACAGAGACUCUUUGUCUUUUUGAUCUUUCUCCUUGACGAGCAGCAGCGAUGGCAUUACGGCUAGGAUUUUUAAAUACCUUAUUCGAAUUUUUUUUUUCAAUUUUUUUUUUUUUUGGGUUUUGAUCGAUCUUAUUCAUUAUCUUUGUAUAUUGAUUUAUUUAUUUUUGUUAUUCUGUGUCAUGAAUAUAGGUUUCUGAAUUUGUAUUUAAGAUGUACCAUCAGAGACACCAUCGACAAGCUCAGACCACCCAUAUGCGAUAUUGUCCGCUUUGGGCCGGGCCCGCACAGUUUUGCUCUUCCCGACCCCAGAACAACGGUGGGUCACAGGAAAAGGCCUCGCAAGGGAAAGGUAUCCACACCCACUUAUAUGGCAUGCUUCGUUCUCCUUUCCAACCGAUGUGGGAUGUUACAAUCAUUUUAGUUCGUUGCCGAAAGUUCAAGAAGACUGCAGAUCACACUAAAUGGGUUGGCGCAUUUCACCAAAAGCAGGACUUCAUUGAUGUUGUGGAGGCAAUAUUUAAGGGAGCAAUGACAAGGAAGCUGAUAGUGAAUUGCUUUCUGCCCCCAGAAAGAAUACCUAAAUAUCAGUUAUUACAUGAGGAUGUCUGAGAGUCCUUUGGGCAUGAGCAUCAGGCAUUUGUUACUUGAGCAAGUAGUUUUAUGUAAGAGCCUCAUGGCCUUCCAAGGUAUGAAGACUUUAAGAGGAACUUUCUCAAUUACGAUGUUAAUUUUUGCUUGCCAUUGUUAAGGAAUGGUCUCUCGCAUAUGAUAAACUGGAGUAUAUGGUACUUUAGGGUUAAAAACUUAGGAAUGUGUAAUAAAAAAAAAAAGCUUGGUAACAUGUUAUAACUUUGCAAGUGACUCAUCUCAGAAUACGGUUUCAGGCAAGUGAAUUCUUUUAAUUGAUUUUGCACUCUGUUUUCCUUUUUCCUUUUUUCUUUUUUCUUUUUUCUUUUUUCUUUGUUUUUUAAUAUGUAUAUAUAAUAGACACUUAUAGGUCAAUUUUGUGGUGAUUGAUUGAGGUUUAUCAUGCAUGAUGCAAUUUAAUAUAACUCGUGUUUAACUUUGAUUUUUGCUCCAGUCCUUGGUAAAGAUGAAGGUGAAGCUGGAAGGGGACUCUCCAGCUUAUAAAUCUAGUGUAUAAAAAUAUAACAAUUUAAGCACUCAACAAACCAUUGGGGCAUCAAUCAGAGGAUGUACCUAUUAAAUGAUGAAAUUGAUCUGGAUAUUAGCUUUAGCUGACAAGUUGUGUAAGAAUUAUACAUGAAUGAGUAUUCUUAUGUUAAUGUUUGAUGUUCCAAAUCUAUUUUGGAUGAACUCUAUUCCAAAAUUUAAAUAUAAUAUAACAUGCUGUCACAUUUA
This is an RNA transcript of Ziziphus jujuba (common jujube), 2573 nucleotides long. RefSeq lists it as uncharacterized. Lineage: Eukaryota; Viridiplantae; Streptophyta; Magnoliopsida; Rosales; Rhamnaceae. The transcript has 6 exons. The record is from RefSeq and is a predicted model, not a curated record.